This 253-nucleotide ribosomal RNA is filed under the name uncultured bacterium. Its description in RNAcentral is "partial 16S ribosomal RNA". It matches the Rfam family "Bacterial small subunit ribosomal RNA", at positions 524 to 776 of the family's 1533-position model. The record is from RNAcentral.
UACGAAGGGGGCUAGCGUUGUUCGGAAUUACUGGGCGUAAAGGGCGCGUAGGCGGUGUGUCAAGUCAGGCGUGAAAGCCCCGGGCUCAACCUGGGAACCGCGCUUGAGACUGGCACGCUCGAGUUCGGGAGAGGAUGGUGGAAUUCCCAGUGUAGAGGUGAAAUUCGUAGAUAUCGGGAAGAACACCGAUGGCGAAGGCAGCCAUCUGGACCGACACUGACGCUGAGGCGCGAAAGCGUGGGGAGCAAACAGG